This 325-nucleotide unclassified non-coding RNA is filed under the name Hevea brasiliensis (rubber tree). The record is from RNAcentral. Lineage: Eukaryota; Viridiplantae; Streptophyta; Magnoliopsida; Malpighiales; Euphorbiaceae.
ACUAUAAUUACUCAAUGGACAAGGUAAGUUGCAGAAUGUUUUCCCUAAAUCAUCUCCAUUUUAUUGUAUUUGAUCAAAGCAUGAAUAUUUCUUCCCUGUGAGGGAAAAAAGUUGCAGCCUUUUCCUAAUUGCUUGUAUAAAAUUGAUAAUAACAUACACUCAGAUGCAUGCAUAUUAUAAAUUUGUGGUCUGUUGGCCACUGGAAGACCUCACUGCAUUGAGCAUAAGGCUGCCUAACUUUUUAUUGACAUUGAUUCUUUUAAGUUUGCUGAUUUUCUAAUAUUGGAUGGUUCCUUGUUACCACAUGUUACCUUUUCUUUUAGUG